Molecule: ribosomal RNA, 482 nt
Filed under: uncultured bacterium
Lineage: Bacteria
Description: partial 16S ribosomal RNA
Rfam family: Bacterial small subunit ribosomal RNA
Source: RNAcentral
AUUGAACGCUGGCGGCAUGCCUUACACAUGCAAGUCGAACGGUAACGGGCCUUCGGGUGCCGACGAGGGGCGAACGGGUGAGGAAUACAUCGGAACGUACCCGAUCCUAGUGGUUAACGGGGCGAAACCUAUGCUAAUACCCCCUACGACCUACGGAGGCAAGCAGGUGACCGCAAGGGCUUUCGCGGACUUGGCCGCCGAUGGCAGAUUAGGUAGGUGGUGGGAUAAAAGCUUACCAAGCCGACGAUCUGUAGCUGGUCUGAGAGGAUGAUCAGCCACACUGGGACUGAGACACGGCCCAGACUCCUACGGGAGGCAGCAGUGGGGAAUUUUGGACAAUGGGCGCAAGCCUGAUCCAGCCAUGCCGCGUGCAGGAUGAAGGCCUUCGGAUUGUAAACUGCUUUUGUACGGAACGAAAAGCCUUCUUUUAAUACAGGAGGGUCAUGACGGUACCGUAAGAAUAAGCACCGGCUAACUACGUG